Molecule: ribosomal RNA, 261 nt
Filed under: uncultured archaeon
Lineage: Archaea
Description: partial 16S ribosomal RNA
Rfam family: Archaeal small subunit ribosomal RNA
Source: RNAcentral
CAGCCGUAAACUAUGCUCGCUAGGUGUCAGGCAUGGCGCGACCGUGUCUGGUGCCGCAGGGAAGCCGUGAAGCGAGCCACCUGGGAAGUACGGCCGCAAGGCUGAAACUUAAAGGAAUUGGCGGGGGAGCACAACAACGGGUGGAGCCUGCGGUUUAAUUGGACUCAACGCCGGACAACUCACCGGGAACGACAGCAAUAUGUAGGCCAGGCUGAAGACUCUGCAUGACUAGCUGAGAGGUGGUGCAUGGCGUAGACGUCU